RNAcentral lists this ribosomal RNA (668 nucleotides) under uncultured Veillonellaceae bacterium. RNAcentral's name for it is "bacterial SSU rRNA". It matches the Rfam family "Bacterial small subunit ribosomal RNA", at positions 156 to 801 of the family's 1533-position model. The record is from RNAcentral. Lineage: Bacteria; Bacillati; Bacillota; Negativicutes; Veillonellales; Veillonellaceae.
ACGACUGCUAAUACCGCAUACGAUCUGACCUCAGCAUCGAGGAUGGAUGAAAGGUGGCCUCUAUUUAUAAGCUAUCACUGAAGGAGGGGAUUGCGUCUGAUUAGCUAGUUGGAGGGGUAACGGCCCACCAAGGCGAUGAUCAGUAGCCGGUCUGAGAGGAUGAACGGCCACAUUGGGACUGAGACACGGCCCAGACUCCUACGGGAGGCAGCAGUGGGGAAUCUUCCGCAAUGGACGAAAGUCUGACGGAGCAACGCCGCGUGAGUGAUGACGGCCUUCGGGUUGUAAAGCUCUGUUAAUCGGGACGAAAGGCCUUCUUGCGAAUAGUUAGAAGGAUUGACGGUACCGGAAUAGAAAGCCACGGCUAACUACGUGCCAGCAGCCGCGGUAAUACGUAGGUGGCAAGCGUUGUCCGGAAUUAUUGGGCGUAAAGCGCGCGCAGGCGGAUUGGUCAGUCUGUCUUAAAAGUUCGGGGCUUAACCCCGUGAUGGGAUGGAAACUGCCAAUCUAGAGUAUCGGAGAGGAAAGUGGAAUUCCUAGUGUAGCGGUGAAAUGCGUAGAUAUUAGGAAGAACACCAGUGGCGAAGGCGACUUUCUGGACGAAAACUGACGCUGAGGCGCGAAAGCCAGGGGAGCGAACGGGAUUAGAUACCCCGGUAGUCCUGGCC